UUUAUUUUUUUUCCUUUAUUUUUUUUUUAAAAACAUAGAACACAAAUUCUUGAAUAUACUUAAAGAAUCAAUUGGUUAUAGCAUUUGAAUAUAAAUCGAAUUUAUAUGGUUUUUAAUAAUUUAUAUAUUAAUAUUUUUUUUAAGUAAAUCACCGAUAUUUCCUAAACUACUAGGUUAGACCUAAUUUUGCUCGCGCUGGAGAGACUCAUUACAGGGAUAAAGCACACCCAACAAAGAUUUUCUCUAUUCAUAAAAAUAUAUUAGAAUUUUUGAAAUAUGAUAUAUAAUAAAAUUUCAAUUAAUAUUUAUUAUUAUUGUAAAUAAUAAUUAUUGAUAAAGAUAUUUUUAUCAAUUUAUAAGUUUAUUUUCUUAUUCGUAUUUUUAUAUAUACCAGUCAUUGCAGCACAUACAUAC
Molecule: unclassified non-coding RNA, 414 nt
Filed under: Hevea brasiliensis (rubber tree)
Lineage: Eukaryota; Viridiplantae; Streptophyta; Magnoliopsida; Malpighiales; Euphorbiaceae
Source: RNAcentral